This 460-nucleotide ribosomal RNA is filed under the name uncultured bacterium. Its description in RNAcentral is "partial 16S ribosomal RNA". It matches the Rfam family "Bacterial small subunit ribosomal RNA", at positions 338 to 795 of the family's 1533-position model. The record is from RNAcentral.
CCUACGGGAGGCAGCAGUGAGGAAUAUUGGUCAAUGGACGAGAGUCUGAACCAGCCAAGUAGCGUGAAGGAUGACUGCCCUAUGGGUUGUAAACUUCUUUUAUAUGGGAAUAAAAUGUUCCACGUGUGGGAUUUUGUAUGUACCAUAUGAAUAAGGAUCGGCUAACUCCGUGCCAGCAGCCGCGGUAAUACGGAGGAUCCGAGCGUUAUCCGGAUUUAUUGGGUUUAAAGGGAGCGUAGGUGGAUUGUUAAGUCAGUUGUGAAAGUUUGCGGCUCAACCGUAAAAUUGCAGUUGAAACUGGCAGUCUUGAGUACAGUAGAGGUGGGCGGAAUUCGUGGUGUAGCGGUGAAAUGCUUAGAUAUCACGAAGAACUCCGAUUGCGAAGGCAGUUCACUGGACUGCAACUGACACUGAGGCUCGAAAGUGUGGGUAUCAAACAGGAUUAGAUUCCCCUGUAGUC